This 463-nucleotide ribosomal RNA is filed under the name uncultured bacterium. Its description in RNAcentral is "partial 16S ribosomal RNA". It matches the Rfam family "Bacterial small subunit ribosomal RNA", at positions 28 to 507 of the family's 1533-position model. The record is from RNAcentral.
GAUGAACGCUGACAGAAUGCUUAACACAUGCAAGUCUUUGGCGAAGCUGUGCUUGCACAGCCUAGCCAAGGCGGACGGGUGAGUAACGCGUAAGGAACUUGCCCUGCAGUCAGGGAUAACAGACGGAAACGACUGAUAAGACCUGGUGAAGUCAGGCGGACUCAUGUCCAGCCUGAUGAAAAGAGAUGCUGCAGGAGAGCCUUGCGUCCUAUUAGCUUGUUGGUGGGGUAACGGCCCACCAAGGCGAUGAUAGGUAGCCGGCCUGAGAGGGUGGACGGCCACAAGGGGACUGAGAUACGGCCCUUACUCCUACGGGAGGCGGCAGUGGGGAAUAUUGGACAAUGGGGGCAACCCUGAUCCAGCAAUUCUGUGUGCACGAUGAAGGUUUUCGGAUUGUAAAGUGCUUUCAGCAGGGAAGAAAAAAAUGACGGUACCUGCAGAAGAAGCGACGGCUAAAUACGUG